GAUGAACGCUGGCGGCGUGCCUAAUACAUGCAAGUCGAGCGAACAGACGAGGAGCUUGCUCCUCUGACGUUAGCGGCGGACGUGUGAGUAACACGUGGAUAACCUACCUAUAAGACUGGGAUAACUUCGGGAAACCGGAGCUAAUACCGGAUAAUAUAUUGAACCGCAUGGUUCAAUAGUGAAAGACGGUUUUGCUGUCACUUAUAGAUGGAUCCGCGCCGCAUUAGCUAGUUGGUAAGGUAACGGCUUACCAAGGCAACGAUGCGUAGCCGACCUGAGAGGGUGAUCGGCCACACUCGAACUGAGACACGGUCCAGACUCCUACGGGAGGCAGCAGUAGGGAAUCUUCCGCAAUGGGCGAAAGCCUGACGGAGCAACGCCGCGUGAGUGAUGAAGGUCUUCGGAUCGUAAAACUCUGUUAUUAGGGAAGAACAAAUGUGUAAGUAACUAUGCACGUCUUGACGGUACCUAAUCAGAAAGCCACGGCUAACUACGUG
RNAcentral lists this ribosomal RNA (497 nucleotides) under uncultured bacterium. RNAcentral's name for it is "partial 16S ribosomal RNA". It matches the Rfam family "Bacterial small subunit ribosomal RNA", at positions 28 to 507 of the family's 1533-position model. The record is from RNAcentral.